UGCAGAAACACUGUUGUGAGUUGAGUCAUCUCCCCUGUGCUGGGCACUAUGCUGGACAGUGCAGGUACAGAAGUGGUGAUCUUGCCACCAUUCCCUCCAGCCUCUCCUUAGGGCAGCUCAUAACAGGGCAGUCAGCGCCUCUCCAGAGCAAGCGAAGAAGAAAGAUGGAAGGCAGUCUUUUUGUAACCCAAUCUCAGAAGUGACAUCCUAUCAUUGUUGCUGGAUUCUGUUAAUUAGAAGUGAGCCAAGUUCACCGCACUCUCAAGGGGGGGAGAUUUGACAAAGGCAUGCAAAUCAGGAGGUACAAUCUUAGGGCAAGAACCAUGGAAACAGAUGUAUUAACAGGAGAUGUGUUUUUUUUUGUGUGUAAGAUGAGUAAGUUUUUGUUGUUGAAUCAAUUGAUUCUUUGUAAUAAAACCUAAAUGAAUAUCUG
Long non-coding RNA from Pongo pygmaeus (Bornean orangutan), 433 nucleotides. RefSeq lists it as uncharacterized. The record is from RefSeq and is a predicted model, not a curated record. Lineage: Eukaryota; Metazoa; Chordata; Mammalia; Primates; Hominidae. The transcript is spliced from 3 exons.